CCUACGGGAGGCAGCAGUGGGGAAUAUUGGGCAAUGGAGGAAACUCUGACCCAGCGACGCCGCGUGCGGGAUGAAGGCCUUCGGGUUGUAAACCGCUUUCAGCAGGGAAGAAGCGAAAGUGACGGUACCUGCAGAAGAAGCACCGGCUAACUAUGUGCCAGCAGCCGCGGUAAUACAUAGGGUGCAAGCGUUGUCCGGAAUUAUUGGGCGUAAAGAGCUCGUAGGUGGUUCGUCACGUCGGAUGUGAAAAUCUGGGGCUUAACCCCAGACCUGCAUUCGAUACGGGCGAGCUUGAGUAUGGUAGGGGAGUCUGGAAUUCCUGGUGUAGCGGUGGAAUGCGCAGAUAUCAGGAGGAACACCAAUGGCGAAGGCAGGACUCUGGGCCAUUACUGACACUGAGGAGCGAAAGCGUGGGGAGCGAACAGGAUUAGGAUACCCUGGUAGUCCACGCCGUAAACGGUGGGCACUAGUUGUGGGGACCUUCCACGGUCUCUGCGACGCAGCUAACGCAUUAAGUGCCCCGCCUGGGGAGUACGAUCGCAAGAUUAAAACUCAAAAGGAAUUGACGG
RNAcentral lists this ribosomal RNA (569 nucleotides) under uncultured bacterium. RNAcentral's name for it is "bacterial SSU rRNA". It matches the Rfam family "Bacterial small subunit ribosomal RNA", at positions 338 to 916 of the family's 1533-position model. The record is from RNAcentral.